This 3166-nucleotide long non-coding RNA is filed under the name Equus asinus (donkey). Its description in RNAcentral is "lncRNA (ENSEASG00005028768.1)". The record is from RNAcentral. Lineage: Eukaryota; Metazoa; Chordata; Mammalia; Perissodactyla; Equidae.
GUAAUUUGCUAUGAGCGAGAGAUCAUUAAUACACAACCUGAGAUGGUGUUUCUGUAUCUAAAUGUAGAUAUACAGCUGCGUGUGCAAAAUCCAUGUACAACGAGGACGCAGCUCCCCUAUGGCCAGUGAAAAAGAUGUCGGUUAUCCUAUGUUGUGACAUGGAAAGCUGCCCAAAUUACCUUGUUAAGGGGAGAAAAAUGCGAGGGGCAGAAGAGUUUCUAUAGCUGUGUGUCGCAUAAUGAUGUUUUGGUCAACAGUAGACUGAAUACACAACAGUGGUCCCUUAAGAUUAGGACCAGACAGGGGCCGGCCGGGUGGCGCAGCGGUUAAGUGCGCACGUUCCGCUUUGGUGGCCGGGGUUCACUGGUUGGGAUUCCGGGUGUGGACAUGGCACCGCUUGGGAAGCCAUGCUGUGGUGGGCGUCCACAUAUAAAGUAGAGGAAGAUGGGCACGGAUGUUAGCUCAGGGCCAGUCUUCCUCAGCAAAAAGAGGAGGAUUGGCAGCAGAUGUUAGCUCAGGGCUGAUCUUCCUCAAAAAAAAAAUAAAAAAGAUUAGGACCAGACAACCCAGGUGCGUAGUAGGCUAUCCCACCCAGGUUUGGGUAAGUACACUCUCUGAUGUCCCCACAACAAGGAAAGCACCUAACGAUGCCAUCACCCAGCAACGCAUCGAUCAAAUGCAUGCCCAUGGUUAAGCGCUGCACGACUGUCAUAGUUUUCAGUGGGUCCUAUUUUUCUAAGAAACAAAAUCUUAUCUGUGUUUCGGCCUAGGAAAGAGUGGCAAGGCGCUCCUUUCAUUCCUUUCGGGGUUGUGUGGUUUUCUUCUCAGAAUGCUUCGUUCUUGAAAUUUUUAAAAAGUAAAGAAAAAAUAACGAAGUUCUCGAAUACACACGGACAGAGGGGGAAACUGACUUGGCAUUUCUGGUAAAGGGGUGCAGGGAAGAAAGCCGGCCCCCUCAUUCAUUUCUGCUUUGAUGGUUCAACCAGCACUUUCUCGGAGCUUCUCCAAGAGGCAGUGUCGUGAGGUGGUUAGACGCGCAGACCUGGGGAAGUGACUUUGCAGGCCAUGACACUAGAACUGAGCCACUGAAUUAAUCCUUCUGGGCCUCAGCUCCCUCAUCUGGAAGAUGGAGGGGAAGGGUGGGUCCUAUUCCCAGGAGACUGUUGUUGAGGAUUAAAGAACAGAAAAGGAGCAGGUGACGUGUUCGUUCGAUGGAAUACAACUCUGCGACAGAAAGGGACAGAUGGCUGAUAAAAGCCACAGAGGAAUCGCUGAAACACUGUGUCUGUGUGUCUGUCUGGCUUCUGUUGCUCAAGAGUCCGAACUCUGAUUGCGUUUAUGUGAAGUUCUAGUUCAGCAAAACUAAUCCAAAAGGAUCGAAGUCAGGUUAGUGGCUGCCUCUGGUGUGUGACGCUGGCGAAUGAACUAGAAAAAAGCGCAAGGGAACUUUCUGGAAGGCUAGAAAUAUUCUAUAUCUUAACGGGAGGCGGUUACACAGAGAGACAUUUAAUAAAACUCACUAAACUGUUGUUCCCUUAAAUAUCUGUCCAUUUUAUAAUAUGUCAAUUAGACCUCAAUUUAAGAGGGACGUUCUAAUCCAGUGGUCCUGCCAGAGGUCAGGAAACCAGUCAGGUGAGACUAUGAGAGAUAUGAGGGGGGCCAAAAAGGAGGAUAGAGCUGAUAAAGAUGGAGGAAUACAGAGUGUUUAGGAAAAUCGACAGAACUUGGUAACCGAGUUACGGGGAGGCCGUGCUCCGGGGGCCACAGUGGGGAGCCGAGUGACGAGGAGGACGAGGACACAGAGAGGGGCAAGACGGAAGCGAACGGGUCGGGCUUUGGAAUGUGCUGUGUUCACACAUCCUGAUACCUGCAUUGCUCAACUACCGAUCCCAACAGAUAUCUCCCCCCCGGGGGCCUUAGCAUACACCCCACGCCCCACUGACUCACAGCUGAAUCAUAAUUGUGCCAAACGGGGGAAAUGAGUCACUUCUCUUUGCUGCUGGCACACGGGGUGCGCAAAAAGCGAGUGAAAUUGGAGGCCUCUCAGAAAAAAAUCAGAAGGAAGUUCAGGCCGGGGGAAUCUUGGAGGAGGGGCUUCUGUCAUCCCUGUCACCUCCCGCCUCGCCACCACCAGGUGAUCUCAAAUCUAUUGGUCUCAUCUCUCAGCCUUUGCAAAGGAUCCAUCUUAAAAGCAAAAUGUGCCACCGGAAAUAUUGAUAACAUCUUAAAGACCUUUGAAGAGGGGUAAAGAUAAAGAACAAUGACUCUUUCCUGGACACCAAGCCUUCCCCUGGCAACAGUUCGCCAAAUAUUUGCCAGCCACGGGUGACUGAGGACCUCACCAACAGGAAGAGGCUGCCACUACCUAUUUUCAUCAGAACAGGCCUGCCCACAGCUGCCAACGGCUCCAGACAAUGUUUACACUGGUCGCCUGGGAAAAUCAAAACUGCAGAGAGAAUCGUUUCCUUGAAAACAGAAGUUUACCAGACGCGGCUGGAAAUGGUGCUGAGGACGCCGCAGAAACAAAGAUCCCACCCCUGCUGGAGGCGACGUUGUCGUGGGGGAGACAGACAGGGAACAAAUCAACCAGAUGGUUUCCAGGCAUCAAAUUCGUGAGACCCUGCAAAGGUGCGGCUCAUGUGGGAGAUGCCGAUUUUUAUGAUUUUUUAUUGAGAUUCAGCACACAGACCAUGAAGCACAGACACUUAGGUGUUCGCCUCAGGAGACUUGUUUCAUGUUGUCACCUCUGUGUAGCCACCACCUGGAGCAAGAUAAAGAAUGUCAACAGUGUCCCAGACGCCACUGGGCUGACCUUAGAGUGUGGAAAGGAAGGGGCUUCCCUGGGGAUGCGGACAUUUCAGAGAGUUUUAUCCUGUUUCCAGCUCUAAUGAGCCCAGUUAAAGCCACUUUCCCAGAUGCCCUUGCAGCCGCCAGCAUCCCUGAGACCCAGUUCUGCUGCACGGAGCAGGCGGGCAUUUCUGCACCCGUAGGACGACCUUCCCUGCGCCUGUGCAGCCUCGGGCAGGUUCUCCGACUCCCCUGGGCCUGACUUCCUCCUCGGUCAAGUGGCCAUGAAGGACGGCUCGCUGCUUAGGACGAGCAUCCAGAUCAACUGAGUCAAGGGCGUUCGCUGGUGUUAUUGUUAUUACUGUGCGGGGCUGCCAGC